This 57-nucleotide transfer RNA is filed under the name Scapania gymnostomophila. RNAcentral's name for it is "partial tRNA-Phe". It matches the Rfam family "tRNA", at positions 1 to 55 of the family's 71-position model. Rfam says of the family: Transfer RNA (tRNA) molecules are approximately 80 nucleotides in length. Their secondary structure includes four short double-helical elements and three loops (D, anti-codon, and T loops). Lineage: Eukaryota; Viridiplantae; Streptophyta; Jungermanniopsida; Jungermanniales; Scapaniaceae. The record is from RNAcentral.
GCCGGGAUAGCUCAGUUGGUAGAGCCGAGGACUGAAAAUCCUCGUGUCACCAGUUCA